GACGUAGGGCGCGAGCGUUGUCCGGAUUUAUUGGGCGUAAAGAGCUCGUAGGCGGCUUGUUGCGUCGUCCGUGAAAACCUGUGGCUCAACCACAGGCUUGCGGUCGAUACGGGCGGGCUGGAGUUCGGUAGGGGAGACUGGAAUUCCUGGUGUAGCGGUGAAAUGCGCAGAUAUCAGGAGGAACACCGGUGGCGAAGGCGGGUCCCUGGGCCGAUACUGACGCUGAGGAGCGAAAGCGUGGGGAGCGAACAGG
Molecule: ribosomal RNA, 253 nt
Filed under: uncultured bacterium
Lineage: Bacteria
Description: partial 16S ribosomal RNA
Rfam family: Bacterial small subunit ribosomal RNA
Source: RNAcentral